Molecule: long non-coding RNA, 875 nt
Filed under: Helianthus annuus (common sunflower)
Lineage: Eukaryota; Viridiplantae; Streptophyta; Magnoliopsida; Asterales; Asteraceae
Description: hypothetical non coding rna
Source: RNAcentral
UUCCUCCUAAAGAUCUUGAGGGGCAUUAGUGAAAAAGCUUUUUGAAGUCACCUAUAUUUGCAAGUUACAAUCUACAAUCUCUGUUGCCAUCUUGAUCUAAAUUAGGUAUUCUCCAUCUUGAUUUAAUCUUUAUCAAAUAAAUUGGUACAAGAUUUUGGAAGUCGUGUUGGGCCUUUCUUUUUUUUGGAUCUUUUACAGUUGGCAUUCUUUCGGAUGAUGGCAAUAAAUCGAGCUUUCGUUGCUGCUCAAUAGCAAGAACAAUAAUCGAUCAAUCAUUCUCUCAGUAUUAUUCUGGUUGUAUGAGAUCGAUAUAAGAAGAAAAAAGAAAUAAAAGACAAAAGAAAUGUAUAGAUCAAUUUUGUGCCCGAAAUACAACCACAAAAACCCAAGAAAACCAAAGUGAAAAACAACACAAGAAGAAAAGGGUUUGACACGACGAUCGUGGAGGAAGUGUUGUCACGAGCGUGGGUUAAUGUUUCUCGAGAUCCAAUAAAAGGUUCUAUGGUUAAAAAGAUGGAUUUCCAAAUAAAAAGACGAGUUUAAUGGAAAAGAUCAAAAGCUGUGGGAUCAGGCCCAAGUACGAUUGGUACCAUUUGGAGUAGGGUACGGAUCAUACCGUUUAAAGAUAGGCUGGAUGGCACCACCUUUUAGAAGUCGAAACCCUAGUAGACCUAGACGCUGACGUUGAAAGGUGCGGGUCGUACUUGAUUAAUGAGCAUACGGGUCGUACCUGAUAUACGUUAAAUUAUACAUGUUUUUAUACCCCAAAACACUUCCGUUUUAAGCGUGUUUGACCGAAAACUCGACGGUUAGGUACCAAAAUCGGUACUUUUAUAUUUUUAGGUCUUAAACAGAGCAUAAAGGAAAAUUCUGAU